UACGUAGGGGGCAAGCGUUAUCCGGAUUUACUGGGUGUAGAGGGAGUGUAGGCGGCAUCGCAAGUCAGGAGUGAAAGCCCGGGGCUUAACCCCGGGACUGCUUUUGAAACUGCGGAGCUAGAGUGCAGGAGAGGUAAGCGGAAUUCCUAGUGUAGCGGUGAAAUGCGUAGAUAUUAGGAAGAACACCGGUGGCGAAGGCGGCUUACUGAACUGAGACUGACGCUGAGGCUCGAAAGCGUGGGGAGCAAAC
Molecule: ribosomal RNA, 250 nt
Filed under: uncultured prokaryote
Description: partial 16S ribosomal RNA
Rfam family: Bacterial small subunit ribosomal RNA
Source: RNAcentral